GUCAGUUUGUCCGAGUUGGUUAAGGAGUGUGAUUAGAAAUCACAUGCUCUCUGAGCGCAUAGGUUCGAAUCCUGUAGCUGACG
Molecule: transfer RNA, 83 nt
Filed under: Diutina rugosa
Lineage: Eukaryota; Fungi; Ascomycota; Pichiomycetes; Serinales; Debaryomycetaceae
Also listed under: 1 other name
Description: Candida rugosa tRNA
Rfam family: tRNA
About the family: Transfer RNA (tRNA) molecules are approximately 80 nucleotides in length.
Source: Rfam by way of RNAcentral